UGCAGAAUCCCGUGAACCAUCGAGUCUUUGAACGCAAGUUGCGCCUGAAGCCAUUAGGCUAAAGGCACGUCUGCCUGGGCGUCACGC
RNAcentral lists this ribosomal RNA (87 nucleotides) under Onosma hookeri. RNAcentral describes it as "Onosma hookerii partial 5.8S ribosomal RNA". It matches the Rfam family "5.8S ribosomal RNA", at positions 73 to 154 of the family's 154-position model. From Rfam's summary of the family: 5.8S ribosomal RNA (5.8S rRNA) is a component of the large subunit of the eukaryotic ribosome. It is transcribed by RNA polymerase I as part of the 45S precursor that also contains 18S and 28S rRNA. RNAcentral also lists the same sequence under 1 other name. The record is from RNAcentral. Lineage: Eukaryota; Viridiplantae; Streptophyta; Magnoliopsida; Boraginales; Boraginaceae.